UGGGUCGGCCAGGCGGUCGCGACAUAGUCGAGGAACGUCCGGGCUCCACAGAGCGAGGUGGUGGGUAACGCCCACCCGGGGUAACCCGAGAGAUAGUGCAACAGAAAGUAAACCGCCCGCAAGGGUAAGGGUGAAACGGUGGUGUAAGAGACCACCAGCGGAGUAGGUGACUAUUCCGGCUAGGUAAACCUCACCUGGAGCAAGACCAAGCAGGAGGCAGGGCUGCUCGCCUAAUGCCUCCGGGU
RNAcentral lists this RNase P RNA (245 nucleotides) under Actinomycetota bacterium. RNAcentral describes it as "Actinobacteria bacterium partial RNase P RNA component class A". It matches the Rfam family "Bacterial RNase P class A", at positions 1 to 272 of the family's 367-position model. Rfam says of the family: Ribonuclease P (RNase P) is a ubiquitous endoribonuclease, found in archaea, bacteria and eukarya as well as chloroplasts and mitochondria. Its best characterised activity is the generation of mature 5'-ends of tRNAs by cleaving the 5'-leader elements of precursor-tRNAs. Cellular RNase Ps are ribonucleoproteins. The record is from RNAcentral. Lineage: Bacteria; Bacillati; Actinomycetota.